Molecule: long non-coding RNA, 2756 nt
Organism: Cryptotermes secundus
Lineage: Eukaryota; Metazoa; Arthropoda; Insecta; Blattodea; Kalotermitidae
Exons: 2
Source: RefSeq, a predicted model, not a curated record
UCCUCAUAAUCACCUCCUCAUUGGCUCUCAUGGGUGGUUGUGGGCGGACCCCUUGCGUCUUAUUGCUGUGUAUGCGGUCUCUCUCGAUUACCGAGUGACCGAGUGAGGCAAGUGUCUUGCUUGGCGUAUCCACAUACUUGCUGAGACUCCACAUUCUUAACCUAAUUGCCAGUCCUGGUGUUUACAAAUUACUGUAAGAACUGCGAAACGCUUUUCGCAAGUCUCUAACAUUUGGGUAAUACCAUACAAGCUCUAAUCUCAAAUUUGGGCCGUAACACCAUCCUAACUGGAUGCAAGUCAGUCACCUGUCUGGGAGCCCACCUUCCGCGUACGCCUCCUGUGUCUGACCCACUUUUUGGUAGAGUGCCCCACGUACACCACCCAACACACUUGAAUGGCUUCACCUGCUAUGCACUGAUUCUGAAGUACUGUGAGGAUAUUCUGAUAUUUUAACCCAAGUUUCAGCCUUCUCAUUAGUCAUUGAUAUGAAUGGUAUUGAUAUAUUAAUUAUCCAUACUUUUACUAUAAAAUGUAGUAAGUACCCUACAUCUGUUAUUCCCUCACUUUUCCAUUCAUUUUAUUGAACUGCUGCAAUGACAGUGUUAUAUUUCUCCAAUUCCAAUUUCAUUUGACUUAAUCCUUAUGUCAAGAAUAAACUUAAGACAUUCAAAGCAGUGAGAUACAACUCACUGUCCUUAUAACCCUUUACUCAGCCAUUUCUCAGAAUUUUCCAUUUGGCAGCCGUCAUGUUUGUUUACACACAUUGUUUUGUGAUAGUAGAUUAUUAGCCUCAUGCUGAACCCCUAUCCUGAAGGACCAGGGGCCACCCUUUCAUCUGGACCUUACCAUUUGACUUAUCUGGUAUGGGUGAUCCUACCAGGAGCUUAUGUACCCAGCAGCAUGGCUGUCUUCGGGUGACCAGUACACAAAAACCUCCCACUAUAUUAAGGUAGUGACCCAGGAGGAGGAACCCAAAACCAGACACAAAAAUCUUUGGUGAUAGACAGCAUUGUUAAAUAGACCAUAAAAAAAAACAGUUUGCUUGGAGAGGGAUGUGCAACUGUGAUAUUGUGCAGUGGGCUAACCCUGUAGCUUUCUUUGCUUAUAGUUUCUGGGGACAUCUCUUUUGUCCCUUGUGGUCCAUAGGCCCCAUCCUUUGGGUGGAGGUUGUACUCUGAAUAUAGCAAUCUAAACGUUCACCUCUAUGAAUGCUUUUGAUUUCACAAAGCAUAAGACAAAAUUUUCAAUAUAUAAAAUAAUGAAAACUGUAACUGGUCAUUUUGUAUAUAGAGUGGACAGACCACUGAAUGUUUUAGGGCUAAUGAAAUGUAAGGGAAAAUAAGUUCCGACUGUAAAGUGAUUAGUUUUGCAACGGUAGAGUCACAUUAAAGUUUGAACAUUAACGCAAGUUCAAAAGAUGAUUUGCAGAGGGAAAGAAGCAGUGAAAUCAUUGGGGUAAGGGCUUUUAUUACACAUAACCAACGUUUUCAAUAACAGUGGGUUACAUCAAGAAACUGUUCACCAUCUUAUAAUACUUACUUUAUAUAACUGUGAUAAAGUGACAUUAAAUAAACAGAACAGUUGUGCAGUAAUAAUUAAUGAUAGCAGGCAAACGUGAGGAAAUUACAGUAUAAUGAAUACGAGUUGAAAUUCACGAAGUAUGGGAAAUGAGGUGUGCCAGGUGCAAAAGGAAAACAGAGGGCUCAGUCUUCUUGCAGUCUUCACCCUUUCUCAGUCCUUUAAUAUUUCCAAUACAUGUUUUUGAAGUCAAUACAACAUGUUUUGACUUUAGUUCAGUUUGGGUGCCAUAUUAGAAGACAAAGUGGAUUGAUAGGCGAAAAAUUUUCAAUAUACUCUAAUGCACUCACAAAUCAACUGAUCUCUGUGUUUCAGUAUGACUGUAAUAGCACGUGCAAGAGGGAGGUCUGUUAGUAACAGCUGGGAGAACUACUGUGAAGUGGGUGAAUAAGGGCACAUGACAGCAUUGUUCCUGAAGUAACUCAUAUUUGAAAAUUUUUGCCAUUUGCGUGAGAAAUCUGGAUGCUUUGGGCUUUGUCUGGGAUCAGAAGAAUAUUUUCUGAAUAUGGGAGUUAACUGUAUGUGCACUGGGGAACAGCAACCCACCAUUGUUUACAUUCUGACAUCAUAGGCAUGUGUUUGUUUCCCCCCCCCAAAUUGGUUGCAGAGAGACAGAACACAGAAUGACCUGGAGAAUGAGAGAACGUAACAUCAAACGAAACGUCAAAGUGGGGCCUCAAGGAUUCUGGAUGCGAGUCCUUUCAGAAGCAUGGCAUGAAAUUAAUCUGAAUUCCAAACAUUAAUUCUGUUUCCUAUCCAAAUGAAUGUCAAAACAUGUGUUCAGAUGUUCUCAGGCUUUAUUAUAACAGUGUUACUGAAAUAGGUUAAUUUUUAUUUUGCUUAAGAGAUGGCCUUUAUGUAGACCAUCUCUCUGUUCUAGUGGUCAGAGUUCCUGGCUACUGAUCCAGAAGUCCAGGUUCAAUUCCCAGUGCUACCAGAUUUUCUGAGAAGUGGUUGGUCUGGAAUGGGUUCCACUCAGCCUCAUGAGGAUAAUUCAGGAGUUAUGUCAAGGAAACAGGAAUGUAUUUAAGGAUGCCAUUGUUUCAUAGCAACUUAUUGCCCCCAGAUUUGUGGGAUUUGUACUCAGCACAAGUCACUCAUGUGUGUGUGUGUGUGCAUGUGUGCGCACUUCAUCCUGGCGCCAUCUAACUCAAUUUUGUCUUUGUAUGGGACUCCCC